AAAAUGUUUCUAGUGUGUAAAUUUAUUGUGUUUAUAUAAAUAUAUUAAUUU
RNAcentral lists this ribosomal RNA (51 nucleotides) under Taraka hamada. RNAcentral describes it as "partial 12S ribosomal RNA". Lineage: Eukaryota; Metazoa; Arthropoda; Insecta; Lepidoptera; Lycaenidae. The record is from RNAcentral.